RNAcentral lists this transfer RNA (73 nucleotides) under Ceratotherium simum simum (southern white rhinoceros). Its description in RNAcentral is "tRNA-Ala (TGC) (tRNA-Ala-TGC-9-1)". It matches the Rfam family "tRNA". Rfam says of the family: Transfer RNA (tRNA) molecules are approximately 80 nucleotides in length. Their secondary structure includes four short double-helical elements and three loops (D, anti-codon, and T loops). The record is from RNAcentral. Lineage: Eukaryota; Metazoa; Chordata; Mammalia; Perissodactyla; Rhinocerotidae.
GGGGAAUUAGCUCAAAUGGUAGAGCGCUCGCUUUGCAUGCGAGAGGCAGUGGGAUCGAUGCCCACAUUCUCCA